RNAcentral lists this ribosomal RNA (434 nucleotides) under uncultured bacterium. Its description in RNAcentral is "partial 16S ribosomal RNA". It matches the Rfam family "Bacterial small subunit ribosomal RNA", at positions 27 to 507 of the family's 1533-position model. The record is from RNAcentral.
GAACGAACGCUGGCGGCAUGCCUACCCCAUGCAAGUCGAACGAGACCUUCGGGUCUUGUGGCGCACGGGUGCGUAACGCGUGGGAACCUGCCCUUAGGUUCGGAAUAACUCCCCGAAAGGGGUGCUAAUACCGGAUAAUGUCUUCGGACCAAAGAUUUAUCGCCUUUGGAUGGGCCCGCGUUGGAUUAGCUAGUUGGUAGGGUAAAAGCCUACCAAGGCGACGAUCCAUAGCUGGUCUGAGAGGAUGAUCAGCCACACUGGGACUGAGACACGGCCCAGACUCCUACGGGAGGCAGCAGUGGGGAAUAUUGGACAAUGGGCGAAAGCCUGAUCCAGCAAUGCCGCGUGAGUGAUGAAGGCCUUAGGGUUGUAAAGCUCUUUUACCCGGGAUGAUAAUGACAGUACCGGGAGAAUAAGCUCCGGCUAACUCCGUG